CCUACGGGGGGCAGCAGUGGGGAAUAUUGGACAAUGGCGGGAACCCUGAUCCAGCCAUGCCGCGUGUGUGAAGAAGGCCCUCGGGUUGUAAAGCACUUUCAGUGAGGAAGAACGCCUGGUGGUUAAUACCCAUCAGGAAAGACAUCACUCACAGAAGAAGCACCGGCUAACUCCGUGCCAGCAGCCGCGGUAAUACGGAGGGUGCGAGCGUUAAUCGGAAUUACUGGGCGUAAAGCGCGCGUAGGUGGCUUGAUAAGCCGGUUGUGAAAGCCCCGGGCUCAACCUGGGAACGGCAUCCGGAACUGUCAAGCUAGAGUGCAGGAGAGGAAGGUAGAAUUCCCGGUGUAGCGGUGAAAUGCGUAGAGAUCGGGAGGAAUACCAGUGGCGAAGGCGGCCUUCUGGACUGACACUGACACUGAGGUGCGAAAGCGUGGGUAGCAAACAGGAUUAGAUACCCCGGUAGUC
Molecule: ribosomal RNA, 465 nt
Filed under: Vreelandella stevensii
Lineage: Bacteria; Pseudomonadati; Pseudomonadota; Gammaproteobacteria; Oceanospirillales; Halomonadaceae
Description: partial 16S ribosomal RNA
Rfam family: Bacterial small subunit ribosomal RNA
Source: RNAcentral